Molecule: transfer RNA, 76 nt
Filed under: Candidatus Paracaedibacteraceae bacterium
Lineage: Bacteria; Pseudomonadati; Pseudomonadota; Alphaproteobacteria; Holosporales; Candidatus Paracaedibacteraceae
Description: tRNA-Lys
Rfam family: tRNA
About the family: Transfer RNA (tRNA) molecules are approximately 80 nucleotides in length. Their secondary structure includes four short double-helical elements and three loops (D, anti-codon, and T loops).
Source: RNAcentral
GGGUAAUUAGCUCAGUCGGUAGAGCAUCUGACUUUUAAUCAGAGGGUCACAGGUUCGAUUCCUGUAUUACCCACCA